AGCUAACUUUCAAAGCUUUCCCGAUCCACCAACCGAGAAAUGAGAAAAAACUUGAAAAUAGAACAUCUUUUUGUACCAUUUUGGAGCUCUAGAUUUUCAAUCUUUGCCCCUCAACUCCUCAGAAUUCCUUGGCUCCAAACAAUGAUCCGAUUUAUUUUGUUGCGAAAUAGGCAAGGCAAGACUCGUCUGGCCAAAUACUAUGUUCCCCUCCCUCGAGGAUUCCGCGAAACACAAAGUCGAAUACAAGGUUCAUUGAUUGGCGGCUAACAGAGACCCCAAAUUUACUAAUUUCGUGGAGCUCCGUACGCACAAGGUAAUCUACAGGCGUUAUGCUGGAUUGUUUUUCUCAUUGUGUGUUGACAUAACAGAUAAUGAGCUGGCAUAUUUGGAGGAUGGGAGUUGCCAGUGUAUUGGGUGCGGCUCUGCUAUGCGUUAUUCAUGGUGCUACCGUAGAGAAUACUUUAUUUGAAGAUGGUGAUGGUGCAAAUACAUUUCGUGUUUUUAACUCAACUCAAGCCGAAGAAACUUAUUCAAUGGUCACCGCUAAUCACUUU
Long non-coding RNA from Hibiscus syriacus, 554 nucleotides. RefSeq lists it as uncharacterized. The record is from RefSeq and is a predicted model, not a curated record. The transcript is spliced from 4 exons. NCBI's taxonomy places the organism in Eukaryota, Viridiplantae, Streptophyta, Magnoliopsida, Malvales, Malvaceae.